AUCGUACUUCCUCCGUCCAACAAAGGAUGUCUCAACUUUGACUAAAUUUGAAUGCAUCUAUACACUAAGUCAUGUCUAGAUAACAUCCAAAUUUUGACAAACUUGAGACAUCUUUUGUUGGACGGAGGGAGUAUGAC
Non-coding RNA from Brachypodium distachyon (stiff brome), 137 nucleotides. NCBI's taxonomy places the organism in Eukaryota, Viridiplantae, Streptophyta, Magnoliopsida, Poales, Poaceae. The record is from Rfam.